CCCUUAGAGUUUGAUCCUGGCUCAGGAUGAACGCUGGCGGCGUGCUUAACACAUGCAAGUCGAACGAAGCAUUUAAGACGGAUUCUUUCGGGAUGAAGACUUUUAUGACUGAGUGGCGGACGGGUGAGUAACGCGUGGGUAACCUGCCUCACACAGGGGGAUAGCAGUUGGAAACGGCUGAUAAUACCGCAUAAGCGCACAGUACCGCAUGGUACAGUGUGAAAAACUCCGGUGGUGUGAGAUGGACCCGCGUCUGAUUAGCUUGUUGGCAGGGUAACGGCCUACCAAGGCAACGAUCAGUAGCCGACCUGAGAGGGUGACCGGCCACAUUGGGACUGAGACACGGCCCAGACUCCUACGGGAGGCAGCAGUGGGGAAUAUUGCACAAUGGAGGAAACUCUGAUGCAGCGACGCCGCGUGAGUGAAGAAGUAUUUCGGUAUGUAAAGCUCUAUCAGCAGGGAAGAUAGAGACGGUACCUGACUAAGAAGCUCCGG
RNAcentral lists this ribosomal RNA (495 nucleotides) under uncultured bacterium. Its description in RNAcentral is "bacterial SSU rRNA". It matches the Rfam family "Bacterial small subunit ribosomal RNA", at positions 1 to 496 of the family's 1533-position model. The record is from RNAcentral.